Molecule: transfer RNA, 84 nt
Filed under: Flavobacteriales bacterium
Lineage: Bacteria; Pseudomonadati; Bacteroidota; Flavobacteriia; Flavobacteriales
Also listed under: 3 other names
Description: tRNA-Leu
Rfam family: tRNA
About the family: Transfer RNA (tRNA) molecules are approximately 80 nucleotides in length. Their secondary structure includes four short double-helical elements and three loops (D, anti-codon, and T loops).
Source: RNAcentral
GCGGAAGUGGCGAAAUUGGCAGACGCACCAUCUUGAGGGGGUGGCGCUCGUACGAGCGUAGGGGUUCAAGUCCCCUCUUCCGCA